GGAAUAUAAGAACCCGUCUCUUAACUUUUAACUAAAAAAACUAAGAACCGGCUCUUAAACAAGAGUUUUAAGAGACGGUUCUUAGUUUUUUUAGUUAAAAGUUAAGAGACGGGUUCUUAUAUUCC
Molecule: non-coding RNA, 125 nt
Organism: Brassica napus (rape)
Lineage: Eukaryota; Viridiplantae; Streptophyta; Magnoliopsida; Brassicales; Brassicaceae
Source: Rfam